GUGUGUAUCUGCGGUGUAUCUGCUGCAGAUACACAGCAGUGUAUCUGUAGUAGAUACACAGCUGUGUGUAUCUGCAGAUACACAGUAGUGUGUAUCUAAUAGGUAUCUACAGAUACACACAGCUGUGUAUCUUCUACAGAUACACUGCUGUGUAUCUAUAGCAGAUACACAGCAGUGUAUCUGCAGUAGAUACACACUGCAGAUACACA
RNAcentral lists this microRNA precursor (209 nucleotides) under Asparagus officinalis (garden asparagus). Its description in RNAcentral is "miR12146 stem-loop (aof-MIR12146)". Lineage: Eukaryota; Viridiplantae; Streptophyta; Magnoliopsida; Asparagales; Asparagaceae. The record is from miRBase by way of RNAcentral.